CUCUGCAGGGCUGUCUCUGUGGGACGGGACUGUCUCUGCGGGGCGGGACUGUGCUGUCUGAGGGACUGCUCUGUCUCUAUAGGGCGGGGCUGUCUCUGCAGGGCUGUCUCUGCGGGGCGGGGAGGGGCAGGCCGGGGCCGUUCCAGCCGCUCCCGGAGCGGACGUGACGCGCGGGGCGCUCCGGGGCCGCCCCGCAGCGAUGGAGGCGCGGGAGCCGCUGCGGGACGUGCGCGGGGCGCUGCGGGCGGUGCUGGCGCGGCUGCGAGGUGCGGGCCGGGACCGAGGCCGGGGCCAGGGCCGGGCGGGGGUCGGGCCGAGCCGGGCCGGCUCCCCGCGGGCUGAGCUCUGUCUGUGCCGUUGCAGAGGGAGAGCCGGGCGAGGGCCGAGAGCCGUUCGAGCUGCCGCGCUUCUGGGACGCGCUAGGUCAGACAUUCCAAGUAACAUCACAGGAGGCUACAAAGCUGAGUCUGGCAUUCUCAAGGCCUCCACUACCUUCUGCAGAGGAUUGCCGGAAGCUGAGUGAGGAUGUCCAAAAUGCCGUCCUUGCAGUUGCCACAGUGUACUACUGGCUACCCAAGGGCCAAGGUGAUAUAAUGACUGCAAGGCAGUCACCACUGUAUAGCAUGGUGGUUCUUUCACCAUCACUAUAUAGAGAAACCCAGUGUUUCAGAGCCUAAUGAGGUCUGGUACCAGCAAGUUUUCAUUAGUAUGGUAUCCCGUUAUCAGCUAUUCUGUGGACUUUGAAUGUGUUUAUGAGUGAAGUACUUGUCUGUCUGCUGCUGAAGUUUUCUGUCUGUGGGACGGUGAUAAUGCAGGAAAUUGUAUAGUUGACUGAGCAUUCAAAUUUAUGAAGCAUUGAAGUCCUUGUCCAAACUUCUUUUGGAACUGGAAAGCAUUUUGCUUUCUUCAAAAUACUUGUAACUUCAUUUAUACAGUGUAUCUACACAAACAAGCAAUCUAUGUGUUCAUCUUCAGCACUUGUUUUCUGUCAGUGCUGACUUUGUGCUGGCUUUCUUGCUUUUUCUCAACUCAAC
RNAcentral lists this long non-coding RNA (1034 nucleotides) under Catharus ustulatus (Swainson's thrush). RNAcentral's name for it is "lncRNA (ENSCUSG00005006076.1)". Lineage: Eukaryota; Metazoa; Chordata; Aves; Passeriformes; Turdidae. The record is from RNAcentral.